This 561-nucleotide unclassified non-coding RNA is filed under the name Fusarium proliferatum. RNAcentral describes it as "sequence contains 18S rRNA gene, ITS1, 5.8S rRNA gene, ITS2, 28S rRNA gene". The stretch from base 194 to 347 matches the Rfam family "5.8S ribosomal RNA". Lineage: Eukaryota; Fungi; Ascomycota; Sordariomycetes; Hypocreales; Nectriaceae. The record is from RNAcentral.
AGUCGUAACAAGGUCUCCGUUGGUGAACCAGCGGAGGGAUCAUUACCGAGUUUACAACUCCCAAACCCCUGUGAACAUACCAAUUGUUGCCUCGGCGGAUCAGCCCGCUCCCGGUAAAACGGGACGGCCCGCCAGAGGACCCCUAAACUCUGUUUCUAUAUGUAACUUCUGAGUAAAACCAUAAAUAAAUCAAAACUUUCAACAACGGAUCUCUUGGUUCUGGCAUCGAUGAAGAACGCAGCAAAAUGCGAUAAGUAAUGUGAAUUGCAGAAUUCAGUGAAUCAUCGAAUCUUUGAACGCACAUUGCGCCCGCCAGUAUUCUGGCGGGCAUGCCUGUUCGAGCGUCAUUUCAACCCUCAAGCCCUCGGGUUUGGUGUUGGGGAUCGGCGAGCCCUUGCGGCAAGCCGGCCCCGAAAUCUAGUGGCGGUCUCGCUGCAGCUUCCAUUGCGUAGUAGUAAAACCCUCGCAACUGGUACGCGGCGCGGCCAAGCCGUUAAACCCCCAACUUCUGAAUGUUGACCUCGGAUCAGGUAGGAAUACCCGCUGAACCUAAGCAUAUCA